This 393-nucleotide ribosomal RNA is filed under the name uncultured eukaryote. RNAcentral's name for it is "SSU rRNA". It matches the Rfam family "Eukaryotic small subunit ribosomal RNA", at positions 587 to 972 of the family's 1831-position model. The record is from RNAcentral.
AGCUCCAAUAGCGUAUAUUAAAGUUGUUGCAGUUAAAAAGCUCGUAGUCGGAUUUCGGGUCGGGCCGAGCGGUCUGCCGAUGGGUAUGCACUGUUUGGCGCGGCCUUCUUUCCGGAGACCGCGGCUACUCUUAACUGAGCGGGCGUGGGAGACGGAUCGUUUACUUUGAAAAAAUCAGAGUGUUUCAAGCAGGCAGCUCGCUCUUGCAUGGAUUAGCAUGGUGUACAUCCAUGGAUAAUUGAAUAGGACUCUGGUGCUAUUUUGUUGGUUUCGAACACCGGAGUAAUGAUUAACAGGGACAGUCAGGGGCACUCGUAUUCCGUCGAGAGAGGUGAAAUUCUCAGACCAAUGGAAGACGAACCACUGCGAAAGCAUUUGCCAGGGAUGUUUUCA